GCCUUCGUCGCAAAGUGGUAUUGCAACGGAUUGCUAAUCCGUGUCCUUCGGGACUCCCGGGUUCAAUUCCCGGCGAGGGCG
RNAcentral lists this transfer RNA (81 nucleotides) under Candidatus Pacearchaeota archaeon. RNAcentral describes it as "tRNA-Ser". It matches the Rfam family "tRNA". From Rfam's summary of the family: Transfer RNA (tRNA) molecules are approximately 80 nucleotides in length. Their secondary structure includes four short double-helical elements and three loops (D, anti-codon, and T loops). Further hydrogen bonds mediate the characteristic L-shaped molecular structure. tRNAs have two regions of fundamental functional importance: the anti-codon, which is responsible for specific mRNA codon recognition, and the 3' end, to which the tRNAs corresponding amino acid is attached (by aminoacyl-tRNA synthetases). tRNAs cope with the degeneracy of the genetic code in two manners: having more than one tRNA (with a specific anti-codon) for a particular amino acid; and 'wobble' base-pairing, i.e. permitting non-standard base-pairing at the 3rd anti-codon position. The record is from RNAcentral. Lineage: Archaea; Nanobdellati.